RNAcentral lists this ribosomal RNA (516 nucleotides) under Psychrobacter sp. RNAcentral describes it as "bacterial SSU rRNA". It matches the Rfam family "Bacterial small subunit ribosomal RNA", at positions 393 to 901 of the family's 1533-position model. Lineage: Bacteria; Pseudomonadati; Pseudomonadota; Gammaproteobacteria; Moraxellales; Moraxellaceae. The record is from RNAcentral.
CAUGCCGCGUGUGUGAAGAAGGCCUUUUGGUUGUAAAGCACUUUAAGCAGUGAAGAAGACCUAACGGUUAAUACCCGUUAGCGAUGACAUUAGCUGCAGAAUAAGCACCGGCUAACUCUGUGCCAGCAGCCGCGGUAAUACAGAGGGUGCAAGCGUUAAUCGGAAUUACUGGGCGUAAAGCGAGCGUAGGUGGCUUGAUAAGUCAGAUGUGAAAUCCCCGGGCUUAACCUGGGAACUGCAUCUGAUACUGUCAGGCUAGAAUAGGUGAGAGGAAGGUAGAAUUCCAGGUGUAGCGGUGAAAUGCGUAGAGAUCUGGAGGAAUACCGAUGGCGAAGGCAGCCUUCUGGCAUCAUAUUGACACUGAGGUUCGAAAGCGUGGGUAGCAAACAGGAUUAGAUACCCUGGUAGUCCACGCCGUAAACGAUGUCUACUAGUCGUUGGGUCCCUUGAGGACUUAGUGACGCAGCUAACGCAAUAAGUAGACCGCCUGGGGAGUACGGCCGCAAGGUUAAAACU